RNAcentral lists this ribosomal RNA (323 nucleotides) under uncultured Sandona. RNAcentral describes it as "SSU rRNA". The stretch from base 106 to 323 matches the Rfam family "Eukaryotic small subunit ribosomal RNA", at positions 736 to 955 of the family's 1831-position model. Lineage: Eukaryota; Cercozoa; Glissomonadida. The record is from RNAcentral.
GAUUUCUGGCUGACCCUGAUGAUCCGGUCCCUUAUGGGGCUGAGUGUUGUUGUGUGGUUUGCCAUCCUUCCAGAGAGUUGUGCCUACCGCUUCCGCGGCUGGGCGCUGCGAUCUGGAUCAUUUACUUUGAAAAAAUUAGAGUGUUUCAGGCAGGCUUACGCUUUGAAUACAUUAGCAUGGAAUAAUAAUAUAGGACUUUGGUUCUAUUUUGUUGGUUUCUAGGACUGAAGUAAUGAUUGAUAGGGAUAGUUGGGGGUGCUAGUAUUCAGCGGCCAGAGGUGAAAUUCUUGGAUUCGCUGAAGACUAACUACUGCGAAAGCAUU